ACGCUGGCGGCGUGCUUAACACAUGCAAGUCGAGCGGUAAGGCCUUUCGGGGUACACGAGCGGCGAACGGGUGAGUAACACGUGGGUGAUCUGCCCUGCACUCUGGGAUAAGCUUGGGAAACUGGGUCUAAUACCGGAUAUGACCGCAUGCCGCAUGGUGUGUGGUGGAAAGAUUUAUCGGUGCAGGAUGGGCCCGCGGCCUAUCAGCUUGUUGGUGGGGUAAUGGCCUACCAAGGCGACGACGGGUAGCCGACCUGAGAGGGUGACCGGCCACACUGGGACUGAGACACGGCCCAGACUCCUACGGGAGGCAGCAGUGGGGAAUAUUGCACAAUGGGCGGAAGCCUGAUGCAGCGACGCCGCGUGAGGGAUGAAGGCCUUCGGGUUGUAAACCUCUUUCAGCAGGGACGAAGCGUGAGUGACGGUACCUGCAGAAGAAGCACCGGCUAACUACGUGCCAGCAGCCGCGGUAAUACGUAGGGUGCGAGCGUUGUCCGGAAUUACUGGGCGUAAAGAGUUCGUAGGCGGUUUGUCGCGUCGUUUGUGAAAACCCGGGGCUCAACUUCGGGCUUGCAGGCGAUACGGGCAGACUUGAGUGUUUCAGGGGAGACUGGAAUUCCUGGUGUAGCGGUGAAAUGCGCAGAUAUCAGGAGGAACACCGGUGGCGAAGGCGGGUCUCUGGGAAACAACUGACGCUGAGGAACGAAAGCGUGGGUAGCAAACAGGAUUAGAUACCCUGGUAGUCCACGCCGUAAACGGUGGGCGCUAGGUGUGGGUUCCUUCCACGGGAUCUGUGCCGUAGCUAACGCAUUAAGCGC
This 818-nucleotide ribosomal RNA is filed under the name Rhodococcus cerastii. RNAcentral describes it as "bacterial SSU rRNA". It matches the Rfam family "Bacterial small subunit ribosomal RNA", at positions 33 to 867 of the family's 1533-position model. Lineage: Bacteria; Bacillati; Actinomycetota; Actinomycetes; Mycobacteriales; Nocardiaceae. The record is from RNAcentral.